AAAUAGAUAAGUAAACCACAUUCACGAUUUAUGAAAUCAUAACUAGAGGAAAUCAAGUCAUAUAAAACAUAUGAUCAUGGCUUUGAAUUCCCCUCUAACUAUAAAGAAAUUAGUUCCUCAUGUUCGCAAAUAAACAAAGAUAAAUAAAUUUAAACAUUGACAUAAAGAUAGAAAACACCUAGAAACGCUCCAACAACCCAAGC
RNAcentral lists this long non-coding RNA (203 nucleotides) under Malus domestica (apple). RNAcentral describes it as "long non-coding RNA (MDOM_LNC019396)". The record is from RNAcentral. Lineage: Eukaryota; Viridiplantae; Streptophyta; Magnoliopsida; Rosales; Rosaceae.